GCUCCUGCAAGAAACCAGGUCCUUAUGUUAUCUCAGAGUUGUAUCAGAACGAAGAUUUAAUUAAGGCACUGGCAGUUCCUAGGGCAUUAGACAUAUAACAAACAGGUUUUACAUUCUUGUUUAAAAGUGUGAGUUUCAAAAUACUCAUAAAUCUGUGAGAAGUAAGUGCACAUAUUCUGGGCAUGCAAUGAGGAAUGCAAUGGCCAAGGAGUUUGUUAAGGCCAAAUAAACUGAAACAGAAAAAUCAUUAAACCAAAAUGUUUUUGUCAUUCUUGUAAACCCACAGGUAAGAUUCUUUUAUGAAACCUAUGAACCUUUAUAAAACUUAAUAUAAAUUUUUAUGAAAACAAGUAGGCAGUGAAAGGAUGGGGAUUUUUGCCAGCUGACCAUUUAGCACUUUGUGUCUCUGCUCCAUUAUAUUUUCAUGUUAAGAACAAAUGUGUUUCUUAGGUGCAGAGAUUGGUUCAUCACUUCCUUAUCCUGUCAUGUUUAUAUAGCCCUCAAAAAAACUGAAGAACUGUGUGUGUUAAGUACAUGAAGAUUUCUAGUAAGAGUGACAUUUCAUGGAGCUGCUCAUUCUUCUGUGGAUAAAAUAAGUUCUGGAUCUAUUUUUUCCAGCAUGGUGAAGAUAAGGUGGAUGCUGGAUAAUGAUUACACAGAGGCUGUAUAUGUAGUGUGGGCAUGAUAAAAGCUGUAGAAUGCAGAGAUACUGCACAUGAUUUUUAGGUUGUGAAAAAAGAGUUCUGUGGAGUUGUGUACAUUUUGCCCUGUGUACUAAAAAAAAAAAGGAUUUAUUAAAUAGGCUGGAGGGCAUUCUUUAAAUGUACCUUGAAAGUACUAUCUACUUAAAUAGACUGAAAUUAUGCUCUCCCCUUUGUAGCUGCCAACCCAGAGAUGUUUUAGAGGCCUUGUUUGUUCUGCACACACAGAUGUCAGGCAGAUUUUGCUGCUUUACUUCCAACAACUAACCAGAAGCCACAUUUCUCCACCAGUAAUAGCAGCUACAGUUUGGCACAUGGAAUAGGAAUCAGAGAGAGACAAAAAACACACUCCAGGAGAGCACAGCACCGUCUUCAAUUAACAGUACUUACCACAAGAAUAAUAGAAGGUGUGUUAGAUUGAGGUAUAAUUCAGGCAAAAGAAAAAUGUAUUGGCUAGAAAAGAUUGUAAGAAAAAUCAGGGCAUGGAUUACCUAUGGCACAAACAGCUUAGAGAAGGAGAGAGUCCUGAGUCAGGAUUUCCAAUGUUUAUCUCCCUGCUGAAUUCCCUUAGCAGUGUAAUAGAACAUUCCUGGGUGCCUCAUACCUCUCCUCAGCAUGUGUUUCCAUUUCUCCUUCUUUUUUGUUGUUUGUGAUGACUUGUGGGUUUUUCCCUCCUCUAAAUUUUUCUUUCUUCUUUAUAUCUGUUUUUAUCUUCUCUCAUGCUUUCAUUCAUUCCUCUUUCUCCAUCUCCUCUCUUGUACAUUUAUUCUCUUGUUGGCAGUUCUCUUACUCCCAUUCGGAACAUAUUUAUUUUUCCAGGUAUUUUCCUCUCCCCUGUUUUUGGCUUUUUUUUUUUUUUUAUUUUCAGAGUUGCUGGAGAUGCAGACAGUGCUGCAAACCUCUGGGCUGAGCUGCUCCUUGCUAGGAACGGGGUGAAAAAAAGAGAGCAGGAGCAGCUGCCUGGAUUGUGAGCCUCUGACCUGCUCCUGUUUCUGCAGGAGGGUGCCUGGGGAUCAGCCUAAAAGCUGCCCAAAGCAAAAUCUCCUAAAAUGUGCACAGGGUGGAUUUCAACCAGCAGCUGCCUGCCAGCUCCUACCAUCUUCAGAGCUGCCCUUUUGGGCUGCACUGCUUUGCUAACAGCAGCAGAGUCCCAGAGAGCAGGACUUCCCGGGAUACAGGAAUGGGAGGAUGCUCAAGGUCAGCAGUCUGGGACUUUGCUGACUAAGAAACCUGGGAGGGUAAUGUCUGGUGAAGCAUCAAAAUAACAACACAAAGGCUUGAUGCCUCUUCAGCCAGUGGAAAAGAAUAAGAUGUAGUAGAGGAACUGGAGUGAAAUAAAAGGACUGGUGACCUGGCACAGCGGUGAAGAGGGAGAGGAAGGCUGAAACAAAAAAGAACUCAGACACUGUAGCUUGGAACUGUGCUUAUGUGUUACAUCACAGUAAAUGUUUUAUUAAAAACUUCCUUUCAUGCCAAAGCAAAAUAUCACCUCUCUCCAAAAGCUCUUGCCCUGUAAUGGGAUCUGUUUAAAGUAUUUUUGAAAUAAUGCUGAAAAUGCUUGAGGUUUCUGUGUGACCAAAUUAAAAUGUAGGGAGUUGGACUCACGUUCUAUUAGAAUUCUGGUUAGCAUGCACAUUUUAUCACAAGUUUUAAUAAAAUGGGUUUCUGUA
This is a non-coding RNA of Taeniopygia guttata (zebra finch), 2371 nucleotides long. NCBI's taxonomy places the organism in Eukaryota, Metazoa, Chordata, Aves, Passeriformes, Estrildidae. The record is from RefSeq and is a predicted model, not a curated record.